This 1343-nucleotide ribosomal RNA is filed under the name uncultured bacterium. RNAcentral describes it as "16S ribosomal RNA". It matches the Rfam family "Bacterial small subunit ribosomal RNA", at positions 28 to 1378 of the family's 1533-position model. The record is from RNAcentral.
GACGAACGCUGGCGGCGUGCUUAACACAUGCAAGUCGAACGGAAAGGCCCUGCUUUUGUGGGGUGCUCGAGUGGCGAACGGGUGAGUAACACGUGAGUAACCUGCCCUUGACUUUGGGAUAACUUCAGGAAACUGGGGCUAAUACCGGAUAGGAGCUCCUGCUGCAUGGUGGGGGUUGGAAAGUUUCGGCGGCUGGGGAUGGACUCGCGGCUUAUCAGCUUGUUGGUGGGGUAGUGGCUUACCAAGGCUUUGACGGGUAGCCGGCCUGAGAGGGUGACCGGCCACAUUGGGACUGAGAUACGGCCCAGACUCCUACGGGAGGCAGCAGUGGGGAAUAUUGCACAAUGGGCGGAAGCCUGAUGCAGCAACGCCGCGUGCGGGAUGACGGCCUUCGGGUUGUAAACCGCUUUCGCCUGUGACGAAGCGUGAGUGACGGUAAUGGGUAAAGAAGCACCGGCUAACUACGUGCCAGCAGCCGCGGUGAUACGUAGGGUGCGAGCGUUGUCCGGAUUUAUUGGGCGUAAAGGGCUCGUAGGUGGUUGAUCGCGUCGGAAGUGUAAUCUUGGGGCUUAACCCUGAGCGUGCUUUCGAUACGGGUUGACUUGAGGAAGGUAGGGGAGAAUGGAAUUCCUGGUGGAGCGGUGGAAUGCGCAGAUAUCAGGAGGAACACCAGUGGCGAAGGCGGUUCUCUGGGCCUUUCCUGACGCUGAGGAGCGAAAGCGUGGGGAGCGAACAGGCUUAGAUACCCUGGUAGUCCACGCUGUAAACGGUGGGUACUAGGUGUGGGGUCCAUUCCACGGGUUCCGUGCCGUAGCUAACGCUUUAAGUACCCCGCCUGGGGAGUACGGCCGCAAGGCUAAAACUCAAAGGAAUUGACGGGGCCCCGCACAAGCGGCGGAGCAUGCGGAUUAAUUCGAUGCAACGCGUAGAACCUUACCUGGGUUUGACAUGGAUCGGGAGCACUCAGAGAUGGGUGUGCCUCUUUUGGGGUCGGUUCACAGGUGGUGCAUGGCUGUCGUCAGCUCGUGUCGUGAGAUGUUGGGUUAAGUCCCGCAACGAGCGCAACCCUUGUUCACUGUUGCCAGCACGUUAUGGUGGGGACUCAGUGGAGACCGCCGGGGCCAACUCGGAGGAAGGUGGGGAUGACGUCAAGUCAUCAUGCCCCUUAUGUCCAGGGCUUCACGCAUGCUACAAUGGCUGGUACAGAGAGUGGCGAGCCUGUGAGGGUGAGCGAAUCUCGGAAAGCCGGUCUCAGUUCGGAUUGGGGUCUGCAACUCGACCUCAUGAAGUCGGAGUCGCUAGUAAUCGCAGAUCAGCAACGCUGCGGUGAAUACGUUCCCGGG